RNAcentral lists this ribosomal RNA (442 nucleotides) under uncultured bacterium. RNAcentral describes it as "partial 16S ribosomal RNA". It matches the Rfam family "Bacterial small subunit ribosomal RNA", at positions 338 to 795 of the family's 1533-position model. The record is from RNAcentral.
CCUACGGGUGGCAGCAGUGGGGAAUAUUGCGCAAUGGGCGCAACCCUGACCCAGCAACGCCGCGUGAAGGAAGAAGGCUUUCGGUUUGUAAACUUCUUUUGGCAGGGAAGAUUAGAAGACGGUACCUGACGAAUACGCCACGUCUAACUACGGGCCAGCAGCCGCUGCAAUACGUAGGUGGCAAGCGGUGUCCGGAUUUACUUGGUGUAAAGGGCGUGUAGCCGGGUUGACAAGUCAGAUGUGAAAUCCUGCGGCUUAACCGCAGAACUGCAUUGGAAACUGUUGAUCUUGAGUACGGGUGAGGCAGGUGGAAUUCCUAGUGUAGCGGUGAAAUGCGUAGAUAUUAGGAGGAACACCAGUGGCGAAGGCGGUCUGCUGGACAGUAACUGACGGUGAGGCGCGAAAGCGUGGGGAGCAAACAGGAUUAGAUACCCUAGUAGUC